RNAcentral lists this ribosomal RNA (497 nucleotides) under uncultured bacterium. RNAcentral describes it as "partial 16S ribosomal RNA". It matches the Rfam family "Bacterial small subunit ribosomal RNA", at positions 28 to 507 of the family's 1533-position model. The record is from RNAcentral.
GAUGAACGCUGGCGGCGUGCCUAAUACAUGCAAGUCGAGCGAACAGACGAGGAGCUUGCUCCUCUGACGUUAGCGGCGGACGGGUGAGUAACACGUGGAUAACCUACCUAUAAGACUGGGAUAACUUCGGGAAACCGGAGCUAAUACCGGAUAAUAUAUUGAACCGCAUGGUUCAAUAGUGAAAGACGGUUUUGCUGUCACUUAUAGAUGGAUCCGCUCCGCAUUAGCUAGUUGGUAAGGUACCGGCAUACCAAGGCAACGAUGCGUAGCCGACCUGAAAGGGUGAUCGGCCACACUGGAACUGAGACAGGGUCCAGACUCCUACGGGGGGCAGCAGUAGGGAAUCUUACGCAAUGGGCGAAAGCCUGACGGAGCAAAGCCGCGUGAGUGAUGAAGGUCUUCGGAUCGUAAAACUCUGUUAUUAGGGAAGAACAAAUGUGUAAGUAACUAUGCACGUCUUGACGGUACCUAAUCAGAAAGCCACGGCUAACUACGUG